AGCGAACGCUGGCGGCAGGCUUAACACAUGCAAGUCGAGCGGGCGUAGCAAUACGUCAGCGGCAGACGGGUGAGUAACGCGUGGGAACGUACCUUUUGGUUCGGAACAACACAGGGAAACUUGUGCUAAUACCGGAUAAGCCCUUACGGGGAAAGAUUUAUCGCCGAAAGAUCGGCCCGCGUCUGAUUAGCUAGUUGGUGAGGUAACGGCUCACCAAGGCGACGAUCAGUAGCUGGUCNGAGAGGAUGAUCAGCCACAUUGGGACUGAGACACGGCCCAAACUCCUACGGGAGGCAGCAGUGGGGAAUAUUGGACAAUGGGCGCAAGCCUGAUCCAGCCAUGCCGCGUGAGUGAUGAAGGCCCUAGGGUUGUAAAGCUCUUUGUGCGGGAAGAUAAUGACGGUACCGCAAGAAUAACGCCCCGGCUAACUUCGUGCCA
RNAcentral lists this ribosomal RNA (438 nucleotides) under uncultured bacterium. RNAcentral's name for it is "bacterial SSU rRNA". It matches the Rfam family "Bacterial small subunit ribosomal RNA", at positions 29 to 510 of the family's 1533-position model. The record is from RNAcentral.